This 79-nucleotide transfer RNA is filed under the name compost metagenome. RNAcentral describes it as "tRNA-Arg". It matches the Rfam family "tRNA". From Rfam's summary of the family: Transfer RNA (tRNA) molecules are approximately 80 nucleotides in length. Their secondary structure includes four short double-helical elements and three loops (D, anti-codon, and T loops). Further hydrogen bonds mediate the characteristic L-shaped molecular structure. tRNAs have two regions of fundamental functional importance: the anti-codon, which is responsible for specific mRNA codon recognition, and the 3' end, to which the tRNAs corresponding amino acid is attached (by aminoacyl-tRNA synthetases). tRNAs cope with the degeneracy of the genetic code in two manners: having more than one tRNA (with a specific anti-codon) for a particular amino acid; and 'wobble' base-pairing, i.e. permitting non-standard base-pairing at the 3rd anti-codon position. The record is from RNAcentral.
UGUCCCAAUAGCUCAGCUGGAUAGAGCAUGCGCCUUCUAAGCGCACGGUCGGGGGUUCGAAUCCCUCUUGGGACGUCCA